AGAGGGUUCGAUUAUGGCUCAGAUUGAACGCUGGCGGGAUGCUUUACACAUGCAAGUCGAACGGCAGCACGGACUUCGGUCUGGUGGCGAGUGGCGAACGGGUGAGUAAUGUAUCGGAACGUGCCUGUAGUGAAGGGGAUAACGCAUGCAAAGUGGUAGCUAAUACCGCAGAUGCCUCGGGGAAAAGUGUGACCUUCGGGGCCUGCACCAUUAGAGCGGCCGAUAUCGGGAUUAGCUAGCUGGUGGGGUAACGGCUCACCAAGGCGACGAUCCGUAGCUGGUUUGAGAGGACGACCAGCCACACCUCGGGACUGAGACACGGCCCAGACUCCUACGGGAGGCAGCAGUGGGGAAUUUUGGACAAUGGGGGAACCCUGAUCCAGCCAUCCCGCGUGUGCGAUAAGGCCUCGCUGAAGCACUUUGCAGGAAGAAACGCACGGGAUGGCUACCCGUGCAACUGACGGUACUCUGCAGAAUAAGCACCGGCUAAACUAUACAGCAGCCGCGGUAAUACGUAGGGUGCAAGCGCGUUAAUCGGAAUUACUGGGCGCAAGCGUGCGCAGGCGGUUCGGAAAGAAAGAUGUGAAAUCCCAGAGCUUAACUUUGGAACUGCAUUUAACUACUGAGCUAGAGUGUGUCAGAGGGAGGUGGAAUUCCGCGUGUAGCAGUGAAAUGCGUAGAUAUGCGGAGGAACACCGAUGGCGAAGGCAGCCUCCCUGGGAUAACACUGACGCUCAUGCACGAAAGCGUGGGGAGCAAACAGGAUUAGAUACCGGUAAACUACACCCAAACGAUGUCAACUAGCUGUUGGGGCCUUCGGGCCUUGGUAGCGCAGCUAACGCGUGAAGUUGACCGCCUGGGGAGUACGGUCGCAAGAUUAAAACUCAAAGGAAUUGACGGGACUCGCACAAGCGGUGGAUGAUGGGAUUAAUUCGAUGCAACGCGAAAAACCUUACCUACCCUUGACAUGUCUGGAAUCGAAGAGAUUUGGAGUGCUCGCAAGAGAACCGAACAGGUGCUGCAUGGCUGUCGUCAGCUCGUGUCGAGAUGUUGGGUUAAGUCCCGCAACGAGCGCAACUCCUUGUCAUUAGUUGCUACGAAAGGGCACUCUAAUGAGACUGCCGGUGACAAACCGGAGGAAGGUGGGGAUGACGUCAAGUCCUCAUGGCCUUGCGGUAGGGCUUCACACGUCAUACAAUGGUCGGGACAGAGGGUCGCCAACCCGCGAGGGGGAGCCAAUCCCAGAAACCCGAUCGUAGUCCGGAUCGCAGUCUGCAACUGACUGCGCGAAGUCGGAAUCGCUAGUAAUCGCGGAUCAGCAUGUCGCGGUGAAUACGUUCCCGGGUCUUGUACACACCGCCCGUCACACCAUGGGAGUGGGUUUUACCAGAAGUAGUUAGCCUAACCGUAAGGAGGGCGAUUACCACGGUAGGAUUCAUGACUGGGGUGAAGUCGCACAAGGUAA
This 1465-nucleotide ribosomal RNA is filed under the name uncultured Bordetella sp. Its description in RNAcentral is "partial 16S-23S ribosomal RNA intergenic spacer". It matches the Rfam family "Bacterial small subunit ribosomal RNA". The record is from RNAcentral. Lineage: Bacteria; Pseudomonadati; Pseudomonadota; Betaproteobacteria; Burkholderiales; Alcaligenaceae.